Long non-coding RNA from Mirounga angustirostris (Northern elephant seal), 1959 nucleotides. RefSeq lists it as uncharacterized. Lineage: Eukaryota; Metazoa; Chordata; Mammalia; Carnivora; Phocidae. The transcript has 2 exons. The record is from RefSeq and is a predicted model, not a curated record.
AUGUGCAUUUCCUGGAAUUCCUGGCCCGCCCUGGGGACAAGCCCGACUUCCCCGGGCCGUGGCCUGCCCGAAAUCGCCGGCCCGGGGACGCAGGGCUGGAGCCACCUGUGGGCUCAGGCUCCAGCCGCCUGGCCGGCUCUGCCUCCCGCCUGGCCCCUCGAGCAGCAUUCAAGCUACCGCCUGGGCGCCUGCAGCGUGCCGGGCCGAGCUGGAAGCCGGGAACGAGAGAGCACAAGCAGGGGGAGUGACAGGCAGAGGGAGAGGAAGAAGCAGGCUCCCUGCCCAGCAGAGAACCUGGUGUGGGGCUCGAUCCCAGGACCCUGGGUUCACAACCCAAGCUUAAGGCAGACACUCAACUGACUGAGCCACCCAGGCGCCCUGAGAACCCAUAGUUCUUAAAGUCACUCCAGUCUUGCUGAGCCCAGCCUUUCCACCCCUCCCACCAAGAAAUUCCACACAUUUGUGAAGCCAUGUUGGACCCUCGAGAUCAGAACAGUUGCCGACUGAAUAUGGGACUUCAGUCAUGCCAUGUGGAACAGAAGAACUACCCACCUGACCCCAACCCAAGUUCCUGACCUACAGAAUUGGGUUAUUUAAUAAAAUUGUUACCUGGAGCCACUAGGUCUUGGGAGCAGAUCGUUAUGCAGAAUGCAGCAGGAAUGCUGGUGCCUACCCACCCCAGACCCCUCAGUCUCUGCACCUAAGUUUACUCCAUCCUGACACCUGGAAAAGCCUUUUCCCAGAUCCUGGACUAUCAAAAUGCUGCCUUCCAAGCAACUCAAAGACAAAGAGAAACAAUCAGGCUGUGUGCUGCAUAUCUUCUGUUUGCCCCUCCAAAUGCACCCCCUACCCUUCUCCACAUUGCUGUGUGCCAGGCAGCCUGACCACUAUGGAAACACCAGCAGGCUCUCUUGCCCUCUGGCUUCUGGUUGGGUUUGGCCAAUAGGAGGCACCAGCAGGAGAUCAGAAAGUGGGAGGAGGGGGAAGUCAGGAUGUUUACUCCUCUCCCCCUUCCGCCUUGUACAGUCAGCCACCAGGUGAGCUGUGUCUCUCCACCAAGGCCCCAGCUCCUGGCAGGUGGUCUUGUCCAUAUCCUACCAGUCCCUCCUGCCCAUCUUCAAAAGCAAGGAUUCCUUUUGUUACUAGCCUCAGGCUACUGUACCACCCCUUAUUGCUCUCCAUAAACUCUGCUCUGGAUUAGGGUUCUCCCAGAAGUAGAGCCUGAGGCAAAGAUUCGAGUACAAGUAGUUCAUUUGGGAAGAGAUCCCGGGAAACACUGGAAGGGCAGUGCCGAGUCAGACAGGAAGUGAGCCAAUGCCAGCAGGCUACCUAGAGCUCAGUCCUUCAGCAGAGCUCUGUGAGACAGCGUAGAAUGUCUCUCAGAGUUAACCCAGCUGAGGAGUGAGGAAGCUGGGAGGUUUAUCUACCAACUGCCCUUUGACUUUGUUGGAGGGCUGUUUCCAGGACAUCAACUUCCUGGCACUCUGGGCUGGCUCAACACCCUGGCCAGACUUGCUCCCCUACAGCAGAGAGCGGGAGCCUGACUCCGGUAUUAGCAGGAAAGCACCAUGCAGAGGUGAGGCUGAGGGCAUGUGGGCUGGGCACUGAAGGCUUCACCGACCCGCGGCUUCAUAAAUCAUUUGGUUUUUUGGUCAGCUUUAUUGAGGUAUGACUGACAAAUUGUAAGAUACUGAAAGUGUACAAUGUGAUGAUUUGAUGGACGUAUACGUGUGAAAUGAUUUCCCCCCAUCAAGUUAAUUUACACACUCAUCACAUAUUUACCUCUUUUUUUUUUUUUUGUGAGGACAUUUUUGUUUUACUCUCUUAGCACAUUUCAACAUCUCAGUUAUGCAAUAGUGUUAUCAACCAUAACCAUCCUGUUAUACAUUAGAUCCUCAGACCUUAUUCAUCUUAUAACUGAAUGAAUAUAAUUCCUUUAUUAAACUCCCCUCAAUUAUU